CCUACGGGCGGCAGCAGUGGGGGAUAUUGCACAAUGGGGGAAACCCUGAUGCAGCGACGCCGCUUGAGUGCCGCCUUCUUUCCUUCUGUUCCGCUCUCUCCGCCGGGCAGCAAAUGACAGUACCUGACCAAGAAGCCCCGGCUAACUACGUGCCAGCAGCCGCGGUAAUACGUAGGGGGCAAGCGUUAUCCGGAUUUCAUGGGUGUAAAGGGAGCGUAGACGGUUAUGUAAGUCUGGAGUGAAAGCCCGGGGCCCAACCCCGGGCCUGCUUUGGACCCUGUGUCACUGGAGUACAGGAGGGGCAGGCGGAAUUCCUGGUGUAGCGGUGAAAUGCGUAGAUAUCAGGAGGAACACCGGCGGCGAAGGCGGCCUGCUGGACUGAAACUGACGUUGAGGCUCGAAAGCGUGGGGAGCAAACAGGAUUAGAUACCCUUGUAGUC
Molecule: ribosomal RNA, 440 nt
Filed under: uncultured bacterium
Lineage: Bacteria
Description: partial 16S ribosomal RNA
Rfam family: Bacterial small subunit ribosomal RNA
Source: RNAcentral